UAAGGUGCUGCAUGGCUGUCGUCAGCUCGUGUCGUGAGGUGUUGCGUUAAGUCGCGCAACGAGCGCAACCCUCGUAUUUAGUUGCCAUCAUUAAGUUGGGCACUCUAGAUAGACUGCCGGUGACAAACCGGAGGAAGGUGGGGAUGACGUCAAGUCAUCAUGCCCCUUACGCCUUGGGCUACACACGUACUACAAUGGCCGGGACAAAGAGUCGCAAGCAUGCGAAUGCAAGCUAAUCUCAUAAACCCGGUCUUAGUUCAGAUUGCAGGUUGCAAUUCGCCUGCAUGAAGGCGGAAUCGUUAGUAAUCGCAGGUCAGCAUAGUGCGGUGAAUACGUUCCCGGGCCUUGUACACACCGCCCGUCACACCAUGGAAGCUGGUCACGCCCGAAGUCGUUAUCUCAACCCGUAAGGGAGGGAGGCGCCUAAGGCAGGGCUGGUGACUGGGGUGAAGUCGUAACAAGGUAGCCGUA
Molecule: ribosomal RNA, 471 nt
Filed under: uncultured organism
Description: bacterial SSU rRNA
Rfam family: Bacterial small subunit ribosomal RNA
Source: RNAcentral